GCCCUUCAUCCAGAUGAUCCUGAGCCUCCGGAUUGAGCCAGACGCAUUUAUUUGCAUAUUUAUUUUAUUAUUUUAUUUUUGGGCUUGUUUGUAUUCUAGGGUUUAUUUGUAGUUUAUGUUAUUUCUAGGCUUAUUUGCAUUUUAGGACUUAUUUGUGUUAUUUGUGGGUUUAUUAGGAUUUAUUUCUGUGUAAGGGGGGUUUAUGCAAGUUGUGUAUUUGGGCCCUAUAUAUAGGGAACUAUUUUCAUGAUUAGGGUUUAAUGAAGAAUCAAGAAAUUUCUUUCCCCCACGUUUUCCUCUCCUUUCUCCUCCUCCCUUCUCCUUCUUCUCUUCUUCUUCCUCCUCCUCUUCCCCUCUUCUUCUGCUUCCAUUUUAAAUUUGGUUCGGCAUCAACUUGGUAUCAGAGCAAAGGCUUUGCCCCUGCUGCCAAAGCCACGAUCCAGCAUCGUCUUCCAUCUAUCACACCACAACCAGUUCCCUUCCCGACACCACCGCCGAGUCUGUGAAGGCCCAGAUCGCCGCCCAUCCGCAUCUGACCCUCCCUCUCUCUCGGUUUGUGUUUUCACCAGAGCAAAAAACAAAAUAAAUAAAUAUAUUCCCUCGCUCUCUCGGUUUCACAGGAAAGACAGAGAGGAACAACCCCUACGGGUUACAAAAAAAAAAAAAAACAAGAAACAGGGUUGUCGUCCCCGCUCGUCCGCCGCUGCUCCACCACUUGCAACCACCGUCUGUGGCCGGAUAUAGGAGAGGAACGCCGCCACACCACCCCGCUCGCCUCCGCCACGCAGUACCCACCCCGCUUGCCCUUCCACUGAGCACCACCGGGAUGUGCCCAUCCCCCAUUAGCAACGUCGCCAAGGAUUCCAACCAC
RNAcentral lists this long non-coding RNA (871 nucleotides) under Phoenix dactylifera (date palm). RNAcentral's name for it is "long non-coding RNA (PDAC_LNC016817)". The record is from RNAcentral. Lineage: Eukaryota; Viridiplantae; Streptophyta; Magnoliopsida; Arecales; Arecaceae.